Molecule: transfer RNA, 77 nt
Filed under: Nitrospira sp.
Lineage: Bacteria; Pseudomonadati; Nitrospirota; Nitrospiria; Nitrospirales; Nitrospiraceae
Description: tRNA-Pro
Rfam family: tRNA
About the family: Transfer RNA (tRNA) molecules are approximately 80 nucleotides in length. Their secondary structure includes four short double-helical elements and three loops (D, anti-codon, and T loops).
Source: RNAcentral
CGGGGCGUAGCGCAGCCUGGUAGCGCGCCUGCUUUGGGAGCAGGAUGUCAGAGGUUCAAAUCCUCUCGCCCCGACCA